AAAUCCAAGUAUCAACAUUAUAAGAAAAGAGUAGUAAGGUAGAAGAAAUGAGUAGCAUGCAAGGAACUACCCAAGUUUUCCUACGCCCAAAAGAUCGACAAUAAUAUGUAUCUACUAUUGGACUCCACAGAACCUUUAAACUGUAAGGGUAUGCAGCCAAAGAAUAUGUGGCAAGAUCUGAGUAGCUAACGUUUGGCUUCAAGAAAUACGGGAUGCUUCCUCUAACUAAUCCCAUAGGAACACCCUGAAUAAGAUCUUGAAUUGUUA
Non-coding RNA from Schizosaccharomyces pombe (fission yeast), 267 nucleotides. NCBI's taxonomy places the organism in Eukaryota, Fungi, Ascomycota, Schizosaccharomycetes, Schizosaccharomycetales, Schizosaccharomycetaceae. The record is from the annotation of a GenBank genome assembly.